Ahaetulla prasina is the source of this 2689-nucleotide long non-coding RNA. RefSeq lists it as uncharacterized. The transcript is spliced from 3 exons. Lineage: Eukaryota; Metazoa; Chordata; Lepidosauria; Squamata; Colubridae. The record is from RefSeq and is a predicted model, not a curated record.
CAAGCUAGACGGUCGCAACGCCUGAGCCCGUCGGCCGCUGAGUUACUGCAUGGCUGAAAGAAAGAGGCCCGUCUCCCAAGCAUUGCAGUCCGAAGGCCCAAGCGACAACCACCACGCGAGCGAUCUGAAAGAAGCCUCAGAAGCAACCCUUAAAAGGAUGAAAAGGCAACAGAGUUUGACAGAUUUUUUCAAUAAGAAACCAAAUAUGGAAUCAGUUGUAUCAGAAUUGGCCUUGGAUGCUACAAAACAGUCCCAAGCACAACCACUCCAAUUUGCAGAAAGCAGCAAGAUGAAUGAAAAUGAUUUAAAUACUACUUGUAAAGUAUUUAAGACAGUUUAUGGCCUGGCAAAAAAAUGUAGACCAUUUUCAGAUAUAGAAAGCGUGAUAGAAUUGCAAAUGGAAUAGAUAUGGGAACAGGAUUGCAUUCAUGUAAAACUGCAGUGAAAAUAGCUGAUUUCAUUGUAAAAGAAAUUAAAACCGAAAUGUUUACUAGCAUUAUUGAACAUAAUCUGAAAAUUUGUUUGAUUAUUGAUGAAGAAUCAACAAUAGCUUGUAAACCAGUUGUGAUAGUUUUCGUAAAAGUUGAGGAUUCUGAGGACCCACCAACAAUUUUUGUUGAGCUUGUUGAAUUGGAAAAACAAGAUGCAGAGACAAUGUAUACUUCAGUUAUGGAAAGUUUAAAUAAUGUUGGGUUUACUAAGAACUACCUAGAAAAAAUUUAAUAGGAUUUUGAUCUGAUGGUGCCAGUGUUCUGCUCGGAAGAAAAUCUGGAGUGAGUACUAGGAUAGCAAAAGAGUUUCCAAACAUCAUCAUAUGGCACUGUUUAAACCAUCGUCUCCAUCUUGUUUUAGAUGUUUCGAUAAAGGAAAUAGAAGUAAAUCAUUUUAAAAUAUUUAUUGAUAAGAUAAAUACUCUUUUUAAACUACCCUUGAAGUUCCAAUUUGAACUUAAUGAAAUACCCGAAGAACUUGAACUUGAAAUUAUAAAUAUUGGUCCAGUUUUGGGACGAAGAUGGUCUGCCUGUAGUUUAAGGUUAGCCCUAGCUGUGUGGCGCGCUUAUCCAGCGCUACAUCAUUUUUAUUCAAAUGAAAAGAACUUCAGUAUGGCUGCCCGUCUUGAAAAUAUAUAUUUAUAACGGAUUUGGCAUUGAUGAUUGAUAUUUUAAAUGAAAUUUAUCUUCUUUCAAAUGCGCUGCAAGCAAGAAAUAUAGACAUAAUAAAGGCUGACAAACCUGUGCUAAGAUCUAUUAAAGCAUUUCAAAUGCUUGGAAAGGCAAAGGGUCCAUACGAAAAAAAAAUUGAUGAAUUAAUUAUUUCAGAGGCCUUCAGAAAUAUAAAAUUUGUAGAAAAUAAUCAAUUUGUCGGGCUUCCUCGGGAAAGACUUUUAGAAACCAUCGUAAUAAAUUUGCAGAAAAGACUAAUGGAUUGUGGACAUUUAAAAGCAAGUUGUAGCCAAUUUCAAGAUAGGAAUAAAUUACAAUUUCUCAAUUUUUUGGAGCCAGGUUCCUGGAAUAUUGAAAAAGUACUAGUUCCAUGGAAAGCAGCUGAAGAACAAUUGCUUGUAUUUAAUGACAUUUUUCAUUACCAAAUUGAUAUUAAUGAUUAUCGAGAUUUUGUGGGAAAUGUUUUACGAAAUUCCCAGAAUUAUGCAAUUCCUGAAAGUGUUCAAAGAGCUAAAAAUAUCGUCAGAACAAUUGCUAUAAGUUCAGCACACGUGGAAAAGGUUUUUUCAAAGAUGAACAUAAUAUAUUCAGCGGAAACACAUCACUUAACUCCUUCUAAUAUAUCAAACAUUCUAACCAUUAGUGUAAUCGGUCUACCUCUAGAGGACUGGGAUCCUAUUCCUACCGUAAAAAAAUGGCUAAGGAUAAAUCAGAUGAUGAUGCUCUGACAAAUGCAAAGGAAAUUGCAAAUGAGGACGCCAAUCAAGAAAGAAUAUGGAAAUACCUUACGUAACAGUUUUAUUGUUUUUUGCCAGAGGACAAGGUGCCAGAUACAGAAGUCCUCUCCAGAGCAGGCCUGCCAGAACAUCAUAUCCCUAAGCAGCUUCUCUAGGGGUGAGCUGUCUCAAGGAAAGCGAUACAAACACGCUGAAAGCCUCUCUGAAGUAUCUGGAUAUCCACACCACCUCUGGGGAAACCCUGUCACAAGAUCAUUCGACAAGGUGCAUGUUGAUCCACCAAGGCUGCCAGACAUUUGAAGACAGAACAACAACCAUAGCACAAGAGAAGCGAGCACUCCACAAAGCCAGAGCUGCAAAUGCUGCUACAAUGGUCGACACACAUAGGCCUUACCAGCCACCUGCGGACACACUGUGGACAGCCCACAACCUGUUAGAUGUCAGUGUCCUCUUUGAAAGUGAUGGAUGAAAUCAUUUUCCACACAACAAGAACAACUCUGAGGUGAAUUGGAAGAGAAUGACUGGCCCAAAGCUAACUAACCAGCUUUCAUACCUAAGCUGGGACUAGAACUCACAGUCUCCUAGCUUCUAGCCUAGUGCCGUAACUACUAGACCAAAUUGGCUUUCAGGAUUUGUAAACAUCGUAUUUACUUAGUUACCAAGUACAACUACUUAUCUAAAGUUUUUAGAUUAGAUCAAAUUUAGUGGUGUAUAUUUUUAUUUCUGCUUUCUCUGUUAUUCUUUCUGUCUUUCGGAAUAAAUUUAGAUUAUUGCAAAGAGCUUUUGUAA